CCUACGGGGGGCAGCAGUGGGGAAUAUUGGACAAUGGGCGAAAGCCUGAUCCAGCCAUGCCGCGUGUGUGAAGAAGGCCUUCGGGUUGUAAAGCACUUUCAGUGGGGAAGAAAGCCUUGGGGCUAAUACCCUCGAGGAAGGACAUCACCCACAGAAGAAGCACCGGCUAACUCCGUGCCAGCAGCCGCGGUAAUACGGAGGGUGCGAGCGUUAAUCGGAAUUACUGGGCGUAAAGCGCGCGUAGGCGGUCUGAUAAGCCGGUUGUGAAAGCCCCGGGCUCAACCUGGGAACGGCAUCCGGAACUGUCAGGCUAGAGUGCAGGAGAGGAAGGUAGAAUUCCCGGUGUAGCGGUGAAAUGCGUAGAGAUCGGGAGGAAUACCAGUGGCGAAGGCGGCCCUCUGGACUGACACUGACGCUGAGGUGCGAAAGCGUGGGUAGCAAACAGGAUUAGAUACCCCAGUAGUC
This 465-nucleotide ribosomal RNA is filed under the name Vreelandella stevensii. Its description in RNAcentral is "partial 16S ribosomal RNA". It matches the Rfam family "Bacterial small subunit ribosomal RNA", at positions 338 to 795 of the family's 1533-position model. The record is from RNAcentral. Lineage: Bacteria; Pseudomonadati; Pseudomonadota; Gammaproteobacteria; Oceanospirillales; Halomonadaceae.